Molecule: ribosomal RNA, 533 nt
Filed under: uncultured bacterium
Lineage: Bacteria
Description: bacterial SSU rRNA
Rfam family: Bacterial small subunit ribosomal RNA
Source: RNAcentral
AAUAGAUACCCGGGUAGUCCACGCCGUAAACGAUGAGUGCUAAGUGUUAGAGGGUUUCCGCCCUUUAGUGCUGCAGCUAACGCAUUAAGCACUCCGCCUGGGGAGUACGGCCGCAAGGCUGAAACUCAAAGGAAUUGACGGGGGGCCCGCACAAGCGGUGGAGCAUGUGGUUUAAUUCGAAGCAACGCGAAGAACCUUACCAGGUCUUGACAUCCUCUGCCAACCCUAGAGAUAGGGCGUUCCCCUUCGGGGGACAGAGUGACAGGUGGUGCAUGGUUGUCGUCAGCUCGUGUCGUGAGAUGUUGGGUUAAGUCCCGCAACGAGCGCAACCCUUGAUCUUAGUUGCCAGCAUUUAGUUGGGCACUCUAAGGUGACUGCCGGUGACAAACCGGAGGAAGGUGGGGAUGACGUCAAAUCAUCAUGCCCCUUAUGACCUGGGCUACACACGUGCUACAAUGGAUGGUACAAAGAGCUGCGAACCCGCGAGGGUAAGCCAAUCUCAUAAAGCCAUUCUCAGUUCGGAUUGUAGGCUG